Boleophthalmus pectinirostris (great blue-spotted mudskipper) is the source of this 220-nucleotide long non-coding RNA. RefSeq lists it as uncharacterized. Lineage: Eukaryota; Metazoa; Chordata; Actinopteri; Gobiiformes; Gobiidae. The transcript has 3 exons. The record is from RefSeq and is a predicted model, not a curated record.
GUUUUGGCUUUGGCCUCAGCAGUAACACAUUCUAUGAGCUUCGGUGCUACUGGUUAAAUUCCUCAUGGACUUCUCAAAUGCAUUUUGUAUGGAUUCCAGUGAGUGGCCAGUGACUAUUGCCCUGUUCCUCCUUUUUCUCAGUCUUCUCUAUUGGUAUUCUGUUUACCCGUUUUCUGUGCUGUCAGAAUGUGGCAUCAAACAUCCCAAACCUUUGCCCUUU